This 446-nucleotide ribosomal RNA is filed under the name uncultured soil bacterium. Its description in RNAcentral is "bacterial SSU rRNA". It matches the Rfam family "Bacterial small subunit ribosomal RNA", at positions 26 to 518 of the family's 1533-position model. The record is from RNAcentral.
AGAACGAACGCUGGCGGCAUGCCUAAUACAUGCAAGUCGAACGAACUCUUCGGAGUUAGUGGCGCACGGGUGCGUAACGCGUGGGAAUCUGCCCUUGGGUUCGGAAUAACAGUUGGAAACGACUGCUAAUACCGGAUGAUGACGAAAGUCCAAAGAUUAUCGCCCAGGGAUGAGCCCGCGUAGGAUUAGCUAGUUGGUGAGGUAAAGGCUCACCAAGGCGACGAUCCUUAGCUGGUCUGAGAGGAUGAUCAGCCACACUGGGACUGAGACACGGCCCAGACUCCUACGGGAGGCAGCAGUAGGGAAUAUUGGACAAUGGGCGCAAGCCUGAUCCAGCAAUGCCGCGUGAGUGAUGAAGGCCUUAGGGUUGUAAAGCUCUUUUACCCGAGAUGAUAAUGACAGUAUCGGAGAAUAAGACCCCGGCUAAUCCCGUGCCAAGCAGCCGC